UACAGAGGGUGCAAGCGUUAAUCGGAAUUACUGGGCGUAAAGCGCGCGUAGGUGGUUUGUUAAGUUGGAUGUGAAAUCCCCGGGCUCAACCUGGGAACUGCAUUCAAAACUGACAAGCUAGAGUAUGGUAGAGGGUGGUGGAAUUUCCUGUGUAGCGGUGAAAUGCGUAGAUAUAGGAAGGAACACCAGUGGCGAAGGCGACUACCUGGCCUGUUCUUGACGCUGAGGCGCGAAAGCUAGGGGAGCAAACGGG
This 253-nucleotide ribosomal RNA is filed under the name uncultured bacterium. RNAcentral's name for it is "partial 16S ribosomal RNA". It matches the Rfam family "Bacterial small subunit ribosomal RNA", at positions 524 to 776 of the family's 1533-position model. The record is from RNAcentral.